This 253-nucleotide ribosomal RNA is filed under the name uncultured bacterium. RNAcentral describes it as "partial 16S ribosomal RNA". It matches the Rfam family "Bacterial small subunit ribosomal RNA", at positions 524 to 776 of the family's 1533-position model. The record is from RNAcentral.
UACGUAGGGUGCGAGCGUUGUCCGGAAUUAUUGGGCGUAAAGAGCUCGUAGGUGGUUUGUCGCGUUGUCCGUGAAAACUCACAGCUUAACUGUGGGCGUGCGGGCGAUACGGGCAGACUGGAGUACUGCAGGGGAGACUGGAAUUCCUGGUGUAGCGGUGGAAUGCGCAGAUAUCAGGAGGAACACCGGUGGCGAAGGCGGGUCUCUGGGCAGUAACUGACGCUGAGGAGCGAAAGCGUGGGGAGCGAACAGG